AACGCGAAGAACCUUACCUACCCUUGACAUCCUAGGAAUCUGGCAGAGAUGCUGGAGUGCCGAAAGGAACCUGGAGACAGGUGCUGCAUGGCUGUCGUCAGCUCGUGUUGUGAGAUGUUGGGUUAAGUCCCGUAACGAGCGCAACCCUUAUCCUUAGUUGCCAACGCGUAAUGGCGGGGACUCUAAGGAGACUGCUGGUGAUGAACCGGAGGAAGGCGGGGACGACGUCAAGUCAUCAUGGCCUUUAUGGGUAGGGCUACACACGUGCUACAAUGGACAGUACAGAGGGUUGCCAACUCGCAAGAGGGAGCCAAUCCCAGAAAGCUGUUCGUAGUCCGGAUCGGAGUCUGCAACUCGACUCCGUGAAGUCGGAAUCGCUAGUAAUCGCGAAUCAGAAUGUCGCGGUGAAUACGUUCCCGGGCCUUGUACACACCGAGACGAC
This 442-nucleotide ribosomal RNA is filed under the name uncultured bacterium. RNAcentral's name for it is "bacterial SSU rRNA". It matches the Rfam family "Bacterial small subunit ribosomal RNA", at positions 958 to 1398 of the family's 1533-position model. The record is from RNAcentral.